Molecule: ribosomal RNA, 521 nt
Filed under: Janthinobacterium lividum
Lineage: Bacteria; Pseudomonadati; Pseudomonadota; Betaproteobacteria; Burkholderiales; Oxalobacteraceae
Description: bacterial SSU rRNA
Rfam family: Bacterial small subunit ribosomal RNA
Source: RNAcentral
UGCCUUCACAUGCAAGUCGAACGGCAGCACGGAGCUUGCUCUGGUGGCGAGUGGCGAACGGGUGAGUAAUAUAUCGGAACGUACCCUGGAGUGGGGGAUAACGUAGCGAAAGUUACGCUAAUACCGCAUACGAUCUAAGGAUGAAAGUGGGGGAUCGCAAGACCUCAUGCUCGUGGAGCGGCCGAUAUCUGAUUAGCUANNUGGUAGGGUAAAAGCCUACCAAGGCAUCGAUCAGUAGCUGGUCUGAGAGGACGACCAGCCACACUGGAACUGAGACACGGUCCAGACUCCUACGGGAGGCAGCAGUGGGGAAUUUUGGACAAUGGGCGCAAGCCUGAUCCAGCAAUGCCGCGUGAGUGAAGAAGGCCUUCGGGUUGUAAAGCUCUUUUGUCAGGGAAGAAACGGUGAGAGCUAAUAUCUCUUGCUAAUGACGGUACCUGAAGAAUAAGCACCGGCUAACUACGUGCCAGCAGCCGCGGUAAUACGUAGGGUGCAAGCGUUAAUCGGAAUUACUGGGCGUA